AGAGUUUGAUCCUGGCUCAGAUUGAACGCUGGCGGCAUGGCUAAAACAUGCAAGUCGAACGCGAAAGUAUUUUCGGAUACAAGUAGAGUGGCGAAAGGGCGAGUAAUGCGUGUCUACGUACCCCCGGGUCAGGGAUAGCUCACCGAAAGGUGUGGUAAUACCUGAUAAUCUCGAAAGAGCAAAGGCUUGCUGCCUGGGGAUCGGGACACGUCCUAUCAGGUUGUUGGUGAGGUAAAGGCUCACCAAGCCGAAGACGGGUAGCGGGUGUGAGAGCAUGACCCGCCGCAUCGGAACUGAGACACUGUCCGGACUCCUACGGGAGGCUGCAGUAACGAAUAUUCCGCAAUGCACGAAAGUGUGACGGAGCAAUGCCGCGUGGAGGAUAAGCCCCUAGGGGUGUAAACUCCUGUCAGAGUUUAGGAAUAAAUGACCAGACUCAAAGGAAGGGCCGGCUAACUUCGUGCCAGCAGCCGCGGUAAGACGAAGGGCCCAAGCGUUAAUCGGAAUCACUGGGCUUAAAGGGUGCGUAGGCGGACUUGAAGGCAUCUUGUGAAAUCCCCCGGCUCAACCGGGGAACUGCAGGGUGAACCACAAGUCUUGAGCUCGGCAGAGGCGGUCGGAACGAUAGGUGGAGCGGUGAAAUGCGUAGAUAUCUAUCGGAACGCCAAAGGAGUAGUCAGGCCGCUGGGCCGACGCUGACGCUCAUGCACGAAAGCGUGGGUAGCGAACGGGAUUAGAUACCCCGGUAGUCCACGCCCUAAACGAUGUGUACUAGGUGGUGGAGGUUUUGACGCCCUCACCGCCGAAGCAAAAGCGAUAAGUACACCGCCUGGGGAGUACGGUCGCAAGACUAAAACUCAAAGGAAUUGACGGGGGCUCACACAAGCGGUGGAGCAUGUGGCUUAAUUCGAAUCAACGCGAAGAACCUUAUCCUGGGUUUGACAUGCAUGGAUUAUUGAUCUGAAAGGUGAUAAACACUCUUUGAGUGGAACAUGCACAGGUGCUGCAUGGCUGUCGUCAGCUCGUGCUGUGAAGUGUCGGGUUAAGUCCCUUAACGAGCGAAACCCCUGCCGCUAGUUGCUAACAUUCAGUUGAGGACUCUAGCGGGACUGCCGGUGUCAAACCGGAGGAAGGUGGGGACGACGUCAAGUCAUCAUGGCCUUUAUGCCCAGGGCUGCACACGUGCUACAAUGGCACGGACAGAACGACGCAAUACCGUAAGGUGGAGCAAAUCGAUCAAACCGUGCCCCAGUUCGGAUUGUGGUCUGCAACUCGACCACAUGAAGUCGGAAUCGCUAGUAAUCGCGUAUCAGCUACGACGCGGUGAAUACGUUCCUGAGCCUUGUACACACCGCCCGUCACGUCAUGGGAGCCGGGAGCGCCCGAAGUCGCAGAGCCUCAUCUGUGCCUACGGCGAGCUCGGUGACUGGGACGAAGUCGGAACAAGGUA
RNAcentral lists this ribosomal RNA (1450 nucleotides) under metagenome. Its description in RNAcentral is "bacterial SSU rRNA". It matches the Rfam family "Bacterial small subunit ribosomal RNA". The record is from RNAcentral.